RNAcentral lists this signal recognition particle RNA (301 nucleotides) under Saimiri boliviensis boliviensis (Bolivian squirrel monkey). RNAcentral's name for it is "Metazoan signal recognition particle RNA (ENSSBOG00000009301.1)". It matches the Rfam family "Metazoan signal recognition particle RNA". Rfam says of the family: The signal recognition particle (SRP) is a universally conserved ribonucleoprotein. It is involved in the co-translational targeting of proteins to membranes. Lineage: Eukaryota; Metazoa; Chordata; Mammalia; Primates; Cebidae. The record is from RNAcentral.
GCCGGGUGCAGUGGCACGUACCUAUAGUCCCAGCUACUUGGGAGGCUGAGGUGGGCAGAUUUCUUGAGCCCAGGAUUUCUGGGCUGUAGUGAGCUAUGCUGAUCGGGCAUCCCACUAAGUUCAGCAUCAGUAUGGUGACCUCCUGGGAGCAGGGGACCACCAGGUUGCCUAAGGAGGGGUGAACCGGCCCAGGUCAGAAACGGAGCAGGUCAAAACUCCUGUGCUGAUCACUAUGGGGGGCAUCGUGCCUGUGAAUAGCCACUGAGCUCCAGCCUGGGCAACAUAGUGUGACCCCAUCUCU